UGAAGAGUUUGAUCAUGGCUCAGAUUGAACGCUGGCGGCAGGCCUAACACAUGCAAGUCGAACGGUAACAGGAAGCAGCUUGCUGCUUUGCUGACGAGUGGCGGACGGGUGAGUAAUGUCUGGGAAACUGCCUGAUGGAGGGGGAUAACUACUGGAAACGGUGGCUAAUACCGCAUAACGUCGCAAGACCAAAGAGGGGGACCUUCGGGCCUCUUGCCAUCAGAUGUGCCCAGAUGGGAUUAGCUUGUUGGUGAGGUAACGGCUCACCAAGGCGACGAUCCCUAGCUGGUCUGAGAGGAUGACCAGCCACACUGGAACUGAGACACGGUCCAGACUCCUACGGGAGGCAGCAGUGGGGAAUAUUGCACAAUGGGCGCAAGCCUGAUGCAGCCAUGCCGCGUGUAUGAAGAAGGCCUUCGGGUUGUAAAGUACUUUCAGCGGGGAGGAAGGUGUUGUGGUUAAUAACCGCAGCAAUUGACGUUACCCGC
This 488-nucleotide ribosomal RNA is filed under the name Salmonella enterica. Its description in RNAcentral is "bacterial SSU rRNA". It matches the Rfam family "Bacterial small subunit ribosomal RNA", at positions 1 to 482 of the family's 1533-position model. The record is from RNAcentral. Lineage: Bacteria; Pseudomonadati; Pseudomonadota; Gammaproteobacteria; Enterobacterales; Enterobacteriaceae.